Molecule: ribosomal RNA, 492 nt
Filed under: uncultured bacterium
Lineage: Bacteria
Description: partial 16S ribosomal RNA
Rfam family: Bacterial small subunit ribosomal RNA
Source: RNAcentral
AGUGAACGCUGGCGGUAGGCCUAACACAUGCAAGUCGAACGGCAGCACAGUAAGAGCUUGCUCUUACGGGUGGCGAGUGGCGGACGGGUGAGGGAUACAUCGGAAUCUACUUUUUCGUGGGGGAUAACGUAGGGAAACUUACGCUAAUACCGCAUACGACCUACGGGUGAAAGCAGUGGAUCUUCGGACCUUGCGCGAUUGAAUGAGCCGAUGUCGGAUUAGCUAGUUGGCUGGGUAAAGGCCCACCAAGGCGACGAUCCGUAGCUGGUCUGAGAGGAUGAUCAGCCACACUGGAACUGAAACACGGUCAAGACUCCUACGGGAGGCAGCAGUGGGGAAUAUUAGACAAUAGGGGCAAGCAUUAUCCAGCCAUAGCGCGUGGGUGACAAAGGCCUUCGGUUUUUAAAGCCCUUUUGUUGGGAAAGAAAAGCAGCAGGUUAAUACCCCGCUGUUCUGACGGUACCCAAAGAAUAAGCACCGGCUAACUUCGUG